This 469-nucleotide ribosomal RNA is filed under the name uncultured bacterium. Its description in RNAcentral is "partial 16S ribosomal RNA". It matches the Rfam family "Bacterial small subunit ribosomal RNA", at positions 312 to 794 of the family's 1533-position model. The record is from RNAcentral.
UUCCUCCACGGGAGGUCCUACGGGAGGCUGCACUGGGGAGUKGCAACCAAUGGRWAUAAGUCUCAAGCAGCAACACCGCGASAAGGAUGUAGCSCGUUGGUUUCUAAASUUHUGUCAUUGGAGAAGAAAUGCCCGURAGGGAGAUGWCGGUAYCCCCAAAGGAAGCACCGGCUAAAUCCGUGCCAGCACCCGCGGUAAUACGGAGGGUGCAAGCGUUGUUCUGAAUUAUUGGGCGUAAAGCGCGCGUAGACGGUGUGUUAAGUCUGGUGUGAAAKCCCUGGGCUCAACCCAGGAAGUGCAUUUGAUACUGUCAGACUUGAGWVUGGGAGAGGGGUGAGGAAUUYUGAGWGUAUAGGUGAAAUACGUAGAUAUUUKGAGGAACACCACWGGCGAAGRCGGSUUUCUGGGGCUAUUCUGACGCUGAGACGCGAAAGMGUGGGGAGCACACACGAUUAGAUACCCCGGUAGU